ACAGCAGCCGCCACGGGAACACGAAGGGUGCAAGCGUUAAUCGGAAUUACUGGGCGUAAAGCGUGCGUAGGCGGUUUGUUAAGUCUGCUGUGAAAUCCCCGGGCUCAACCUGGGAAUGGCAGUGGAUACUGGCAAGCUAGAGUGUGUCAGAGGAUGGUGGAAUUCCCGGUGUAGCGGUGAAAUGCGUAGAGAUCGGGAGGAACAUCAGUGGCGAAGGCGGCCAUCUGGGACAACACUGACGCUGAGGCACGAAAGCGUGGGGAGCAAACAGGAUUAGAGACCCGAGUAGUCCCUGUCUCUUAUAC
RNAcentral lists this ribosomal RNA (305 nucleotides) under uncultured bacterium. RNAcentral's name for it is "partial 16S ribosomal RNA". It matches the Rfam family "Bacterial small subunit ribosomal RNA", at positions 508 to 807 of the family's 1533-position model. The record is from RNAcentral.